UUAACUUUUACAGGAUGCAGGAUUUUGAUGACAUGCACGUGGCCUAUAGAGAUAAUGCUCAGAGGGAGCGCUACAUUGCUUUGUAUCAGCGCCCUAUGGCACCCACACGUUAUCCUGAUCAGCACUGUAUGGAGGCACUGGGUAUCGAGCCGAGUAUCCGAUUCCUUAGCCACCAACUUCACUGGGAUGAGUUUGUUGAUGACUUGAG
RNAcentral lists this long non-coding RNA (208 nucleotides) under Lathyrus oleraceus (garden pea). Its description in RNAcentral is "Pisum sativum (pea) long non-coding RNA (PSAT_LNC036101)". Lineage: Eukaryota; Viridiplantae; Streptophyta; Magnoliopsida; Fabales; Fabaceae. The record is from RNAcentral.